AUUGAACGCUGGCGGCAUGUCUUACACAUGCAAGUCGAACGGUAACGGGUCCUUCGGGAUGCCGACGAGUGGCGAACGGGUGAGUAAUAUAUCGGAACGUGCCCAGUAGUGGGGGAUAACUGCUCGAAAGAGCAGCUAAUACCGCAUACGACCUGAGGGUGAAAGGGGGGGAUCGCAAGACCUCUCGCUAUUGGAGCGGCCGAUAUCAGAUUAGCUAGUUGGUGGGGUAAAGGCCUACCAAGGCAACGAUCUGUAGUUGGUCUGAGAGGACGACCAGCCACACUGGGACUGAGACACGGCCCAGACUCCUACGGGAGGCAGCAGUGGGGAAUUUUGGACAAUGGGCGCAAGCCUGAUCCAGCAAUGCCGCGUGCAGGAAGAAGGCCUUCGGGUUGUAAACUGCUUUUGUCAGGGAAGAAAUCUUCUGGGCUAAUACCCCGGGAGGAUGACGGUACCUGAAGAAUAAGCACCGGCUAACUACGUGCCAGCAGCCGCGGUAA
This 500-nucleotide ribosomal RNA is filed under the name uncultured bacterium. RNAcentral's name for it is "partial 16S ribosomal RNA". It matches the Rfam family "Bacterial small subunit ribosomal RNA", at positions 30 to 523 of the family's 1533-position model. The record is from RNAcentral.